GAUGAAGAACGUCGCGAAAUGCGAUAAGUAAUGUGAAUUGCAGAAUUCAGUGAAUCAUCGAAUCUUUGAACGCACAUUGCGCCCCCUGGUAUUCCGGGGGGCAUGCCUGUCCGAGCGUCAUUACAACCCUCAAGCUCAGCUUGGUGUUGGGCCCCGCCGCCCCGGCGGGCCCUAAAGUCAGUGGCGGUGCCGUCCGGCUCCGAGCGUAGUAAUUCUUCUCGCUCUGGAGGUCCGGUCGUGUGCUCGCCAGCAACCCCCAAUUUUUUUCAGGUUGACCUCGGAUCAGGUAGGGAUACCCGCUGAACUUAAGCAUAUCAAUAAGCGGAGGA
Molecule: unclassified non-coding RNA, 329 nt
Filed under: soil metagenome
Description: partial contains 5.8S ribosomal RNA, internal transcribed spacer 2, and large subunit ribosomal RNA
Rfam family: 5.8S ribosomal RNA (bases 1-120)
Source: RNAcentral